Trichechus manatus latirostris (Florida manatee) is the source of this 66-nucleotide small nucleolar RNA. RefSeq annotates it as small nucleolar RNA U54. Lineage: Eukaryota; Metazoa; Chordata; Mammalia; Sirenia; Trichechidae. The record is from RefSeq and is a predicted model, not a curated record. The transcript has a single exon.
UGGCAAUGAGGAGAGACCUAAGUGUUGAAUUAUGGUGAUGGUUGUAUACGCUAUUCUGAGCCAGCG